CCCCCUUUGGUGCAGUGGUUAGCACGCUCCAUCUAUCCGGUACUCAGUGAGUCCGGUGUUACUAUCUUCUGAAUGGGAUGGAUCAUGGAGAGCCCCGGGUUCAAACCCCGGAAGGGGGG
This is a non-coding RNA of Fusarium irregulare, 119 nucleotides long. NCBI's taxonomy places the organism in Eukaryota, Fungi, Ascomycota, Sordariomycetes, Hypocreales, Nectriaceae. The record is from the annotation of a GenBank genome assembly.